AUGAGAGGUCCCGCCUGCCCAGUGACUAUUAGUUAAACGGCCGCGGUAUUUUGACCGUGCAAAGGUAGCGCAAUCACUUGUCCUUUAAAUGAAGACCUGUAUGAAUGGCAUCACGAGGGCUCAGCUGUCUCCUUUCUCCUGUCAAUGAAAUUGAUCUCCCCGUGCAGAAGCGGGGAUUUCACCAUAAGACGAGAAGACCCUAUGGAGCUUCAGGCACCAGAACAGCCUAUGUAAAUACCCCUGACACAAAAGACAAAACUAAUUAGCCCCUGUUCCAAUGCCUUUGGUUGGGGCGACCGCGGGGAAACAAAAAACCCCCAUGUGGACUAAGAGCAACCCUUUCUCCUACAACCCAGGGCCACAGCCCUAAGUAACAGAACCUCUGACCAAAAAUGAUCCGGCCUAACCGAUCAACGAACCGAGUUACCCUAGGGAUAACAGCGCAAUCCCCUUUUAGAGCCCAUAUCGACAAGGGGGUUUACGACCUCGAUGUUGGAUCAGGACAUCCUAUUGGUGCAACCGCUAUUAAGGGUUCGUUUGUUCAACGAUU
This 550-nucleotide ribosomal RNA is filed under the name Nandopsis haitiensis (Haitian cichlid). RNAcentral describes it as "partial 16S ribosomal RNA". It matches the Rfam family "Bacterial large subunit ribosomal RNA", at positions 1845 to 2589 of the family's 2925-position model. The record is from RNAcentral. Lineage: Eukaryota; Metazoa; Chordata; Actinopteri; Cichliformes; Cichlidae.